UAAAACAAUCAAGAAAUCCAAACAACUCCAUUAACAUAGAGUUAGAGAAAAAGGCAGGAGGAGGGAGAACAGUUUAGUUCACAUAGUUAUGGAGACUGUCAGGAUUUGAUAUGGAAACAUUAGCCCCCAAUGCUCACACUACUAAACUGCAUGGUAAUGAUACCAAUAUUAUAAGCUCUUUGAUAUCAGGAACUACAUCAUCCUUUUCAUAUUCCCUAUAGGUCUUAGCACUGAGGCAUUCAGUAUGAAGCAGAGACAGGCUGACUUGAUUAGGAAAGCUACUGGGUGAACUCUCCUUUAAUAUACUACACUCUCACACGUAAGACAAAACAAUUUGCUAGCACAUCUUCCCAUCAUGCAAAGCACUGAAAGGACCUAAUUCAGAUAACUACCAGUCAGAACAGUACUUUAGUCAUCUCAGGAAGGUAUUAUUUUAAUCCUAGGGAAAUGAAUGUAAGGAUGAUUCCAAAUACUUUUAUAAAACUCAUUUUAAAAGCAGUUUACCACACUUCAACCCUUUAGGCUCAAACAUCAAAAACAGACGCUUACAUUGUUACAUUAAAGUUCCGGGUUUUAAAAACUAAUCAUUAAAAAUAUCAAGAGGAAAAAAACUCAAUUGUUAGAUUUUAAAAGCCUUGGUUUUAAAAAAGGAAAUGAGAAUUUUGUUUGAAAUUGCUCCUAGACAGUGGCUUCUUCUUAAAAAAGUAUUUGUAUAAUUAGAAUAGCUACCUACCCCACUAAAAGAUACUGGUAAAAGGUAACAUCUUGAUUGAUUGGGAAAUAACAGAAUGGUUACUUAAUGGUUACUACAAAAGAAAAAAGAAAUGGACUCGAAGCCUACAACAAGUGGAGAAUACGAUGCAAUAGCUCUUAGAGGGAGGGAAUUGUGAAGUUUUGGAGUGUAUCUAUGAACUUAACAUUGCUCUCCACUAAUGUCUUAGAUG
This is a non-coding RNA of Ceratotherium simum simum (southern white rhinoceros), 944 nucleotides long. NCBI's taxonomy places the organism in Eukaryota, Metazoa, Chordata, Mammalia, Perissodactyla, Rhinocerotidae. The record is from RefSeq and is a predicted model, not a curated record.